UGUAAGCGUAUACCAAAGUUGUUGCAGUUAAAACGCUCGUAGUCGGAAUUUGGCAGUUCCGGAUGUGUGCACGUCGUGUGCGCACUUCGCGAGGAUUGCUUUUGUGGUCUUGCGUAGGAUGAGGCACUUUUAUUAGUGAACGUCCUCACGCAACCACUUUUUACUGUGAGAAAAUCAGAGUGCUCAAAGCAGGCAUUUGCCGUGAAUGUAUUAGCAUGGAAUAAUAGAAUAGGACUUGGUUCUAUUUUGUUGGUUUGUUGGGACUGAGUAAUGAUUAAGAGGGACAGUUGGGGGCAUUUGUAUUUCGGUGCUAGAGGUGAAAUUCUUAGAUUACCGAAAGACAAACUGCUGCGAAAGCGUCUGCCAAGGAUGUUUUCAUUGA
This 382-nucleotide ribosomal RNA is filed under the name uncultured eukaryote. Its description in RNAcentral is "partial 18S ribosomal RNA". It matches the Rfam family "Eukaryotic small subunit ribosomal RNA", at positions 592 to 976 of the family's 1831-position model. The record is from RNAcentral.